This 558-nucleotide long non-coding RNA is filed under the name Bos taurus (domestic cattle). RNAcentral's name for it is "long non-coding RNA NONBTAT007222". Lineage: Eukaryota; Metazoa; Chordata; Mammalia; Artiodactyla; Bovidae. The record is from RNAcentral.
GAACUCGCCUUUAGAUUCUCACAGCAUUUGCCCUCACCAUAGUUUAUGAAACUUUUGGGAAAAUUGAAUAUUCAGUGAAAGGUCUCCACCAUUGACUGAAGGGUCUCUGGCCAUCCGUUAGGUUGAUGUGUAAGCAGCACAGUGGUCUCCGAUACAGAGGCCCGUCGGCCUCUGCUCCCAGGCUCGUCAACCCAGCUGUUACACCACUGGUGCAGAAGAUGCCUUGUGCAUCCUGACCACAGGACAUCACAUUCGCUGGUUCUUUAAUGCAGUUGCCAUGACCUCCCACCUCUUUCAGCCAGCCAUACCCUUGAAGCAGCCCUCAGAUUAUAUGAAAAACCUCACCUCUGGAGGAUGGAUUCAGAGACUAGAUGAGGCAUAGAAUACUAUUGGUAUGUGUGCAAUUGCAUAAAUAUUAAAUUAUGUUUUUGAAGUCCAUUUUCAUUCCUGGAGCUCAGAGUUCAUUUGCUGUUGCUGUAUACUUUAUUUACCCAAGGACAUCGCCUCAGGGUUGCAAGCUCUUUAAGGAGAUUUUAUGCUUAUAUCCAUGUAUUAUAU